Molecule: long non-coding RNA, 722 nt
Organism: Silurus meridionalis
Lineage: Eukaryota; Metazoa; Chordata; Actinopteri; Siluriformes; Siluridae
Exons: 2
Source: RefSeq, a predicted model, not a curated record
CUUUGUCCUUCUCUCUCCACUCUGCAGCGAUUUGUGCAAAAUUCCCUGAAACCAGCUGUGUAAUUUCAGCACAGGCCAAAAGGCAUCCUGCCUUAAUGAGAACCACCUGGACCUUCGCAGGCUGUCGCUCCCACUUCCCUUUGUCUUAGUGUGAGUUUUGGAGUGAGCUUCUUUUUUUUUUUUUGUCAUUUUCUAUAAAAUAACACAAAUUUAUACCGGAAGACGAACCUGAACGUACACAGUAACAUGACUCUCAUUUCCUACCGGUUAUAUGGGAAGAAGUGGGAGAAAAGCAACACGUUUAAACAGCAGUCUUGAUGCCACUUCCGUUAUCUGCCGUAGGAUCUUCAACUUGGUGCUCUCUUCCUCCUCAAGCACGAACCCCUCUAGCUCUUCCUGCCCUACUUCUAAUUCCUCAUCAGGUGGUUCAUAGUCUUCAUCACCCAACUCAAAGUCUUCCUCGAGAUGCAUCUCAGGCUCCAGCUCAAGCUUUUUGUCUUUCUCCUCCCCCUCUUCCUCCUCCUCGUCAUCAUCCUGCUCCUAUAAAGAUGUGAGGGAGAAGAGUAAAGAUGAAAUCUGAUGCAUUUAUGAUACAUAAUUAUUCGGCUGCAUGAGCAAGACAUAAAUAUCAAUAACAUGAUAUAGUUAUUCCAAGGCUAAUGUUAGAUCCUCACAGGGUCUUGUAUGGCAGAUGCUCACCAUAAACAGUGAUGUUUUCUGUG